Molecule: long non-coding RNA, 2277 nt
Organism: Pan paniscus (pygmy chimpanzee)
Lineage: Eukaryota; Metazoa; Chordata; Mammalia; Primates; Hominidae
Source: Ensembl
UCUCUCUAAUGGAGGCAAAAACAACGACAACAAAAAUAUGGGCUACAAGGUUCCUCCACACUUGUGCCUUGGCCCAACAGCAGUAAUUACACAGAUUAGAAAUAGUGCUUAAAAAAUCCUCUUUCCCAUGUGCCCCACCUCACUUCCUAGGGCCCCUCAUGGCUCCUGUUCACCUUCCUGACAGAUAAAUGCCUGUGAUCCACUCAUUCGUGCCUCACUGUGGCUCCUUGGUACUCAACCAAUUCAGCUUCCAUAUCACCCCUGGAAUAUUCCCCUGUCUCCCUUCCUCAGGGGCGGGUGCAGCAUUUUGGAGAUUUCCAAGGGAGAAGAGCAAGAUAAAAAUUGGUAAUCUGGGGGAGCAGUUUUAACAAUAAUAGCUGCAUGAAAAUAAUAUUAAUAUCAUUUGCUUAUUAAGGACAAGCCAUGGGCCUCAGUGUUUUCAGCACUUCACCUACACUAACACGUUUAGGUAAUGUUAUCCUUCUCGUUUUAGAAAUGAUGCAACUGAGUCACAGAGAAGUUAAGUAAUCUGCCUGCCGACACUCGGGUCGAUGCCGCCUCAUUCCAUCACUCGGGCAAUGGAGCCAAAGGCCACGUUCACAACCACUAGGCUGUCCCAGCCCCUUGGUGUGAUUUGUCCCUUCCUAAGCUUCAAAGAUAGCCAGGCAGGAGUUAUUUUAUAGAAUGGAAGUAAUUUCUACGGGGCCAAGCAAUAAUAAGGAAAUUGGAAGUCAAGGACUAUCUUCCGAAUGGAGAAGAAGCUCCAUCAACCACAGAAGGAAAUUAUGAUCACUCCUGCCAUCCUGCUCCUUUGUGUAUCCAGGAUGAAGGGGAGAAUUGGAGUCUUGCACAAUGAAAGGACAACAUUGCUGCCAAAACAAUCCAUCGUGACUGUAGACAUAUUUUCCACCCUCAUCCUGCAGGUUUUCUGCCAGUUGUUGGCCCCUCAUCAAUUUUGCUCCUGGGCAGUCUGAGAUGGAGAUACCCGGAGACCAAAAUUUAUACCACUCCUAAGGAGAGCAGCCAUCUUCCUCCCUGUCCUGAGCAGGAAUAAACAAAGACUGCACAAACCCUUGCAGCGGGGUAGGUGGCAGGAGAUGUUUCCAAGCUUUACACAAAGAAAAUAGUGAUGCCUAUGUACAUGUAAGUGAUUUGCCACCUCUGCAAAAGUCUGCACGAUAGCCCUAGGGGGAGAGUUCCUGAGAAACCCGAGCUCGGCUCUACAACCCUCACCUCCCUUCUGUGCCGACUCAGGAAGAAAAUAAGCCCCAGCAGGAAACUCACCCUUUGAAAUGUCAGAGUCCACGAGGUAAGGGCGAGGUGCGCUAAAGCAUCCAAAUGGCAUCACCUGCCCCAAGAACUUAUCCAAGCCCUCAUCCUGACACUGGGGAGGCUGAGUUACCUCGGCAGGUGUCCCCCACAAAUGGGAGACAAGCAGCUGUCAUUAAUUUUCAUUUGCUGAAAUCAGCAACUUAAUCCUAACUUAACCAGAGCCUGAAUCUCCCCCUUCCCAGGCAAAAGGCCUUCCCUGGGAAUGAUUGAAUUUCACAGGGUGUAAUAAAACAAAGGGAUUCUGCUGAAUCAGGUGCCAGACUCAUAGGCCUGUAAAUCACUCGCUUGCUGUUCAGGUCGGGGAUGUUAUCUCCACCCCAGCCAUCCCCUCAUGUCAUGGUGCCUGCUGUUUCCACAACCUCUCCUGCUAAGAAGAUGACCCUAGGUAAGGCAUUCUCUCCAAAUCGAAACUAGCAUGGCCCUGGGUCCUCAUUCAGGAAACUGGUGGCAGUGGGGAGCUCAUGUUACAGACACGCUCUCCAGAUUGCCAGAUCCGGCUAGUUUCAAAACAUGCCCAGGUUCUCAUUGCUGCAUGUUCAUUGAUGGGGCUGAGAAGAGGGAAAGUGGAAACCAGACCGUCUAGGGGAAUUCCAGUCCAGGUGUUCCCGGAGACCCAGGCUAUGAAUAGGAGAGCAAGGAUUGUACAAUCAAUUCUCCAGAGACCUUUAGCUUAGCAGAGUGUGUUCAAUAAAGGCUGUUGGUUAGGAUAAAGCAGAGAGCUAAUCAGCCGAGGGAGAUUUCCUUUAAGUGGGAGUUUUCAGAAUCUGGUGUUAGGCUUGGGAAGUGUCAGGCUUGGGAAGAGGCAAGAUUGACAAGAGCUCAGACCCCCGAAUCACUGCUUAUGGCCCAAUUUGACUUAGUAGAUAGCACACACAAAAGCCAGUCACUCCCGUCUCUUGAGAUGUCCGACUUUGCAUUAAGACUUCUCUGGUGAGCUCCAGGUGG